UCCCAUGUGGUCUAGUGGUUAGGAUUCUUGGCUUUCACCCAGGCGGACCGGGUUCGAUUCCCGGCAUGGGAA
Molecule: transfer RNA, 72 nt
Filed under: Trichonephila clavata
Lineage: Eukaryota; Metazoa; Arthropoda; Arachnida; Araneae; Nephilidae
Rfam family: tRNA
About the family: Transfer RNA (tRNA) molecules are approximately 80 nucleotides in length. Their secondary structure includes four short double-helical elements and three loops (D, anti-codon, and T loops). Further hydrogen bonds mediate the characteristic L-shaped molecular structure. tRNAs have two regions of fundamental functional importance: the anti-codon, which is responsible for specific mRNA codon recognition, and the 3' end, to which the tRNAs corresponding amino acid is attached (by aminoacyl-tRNA synthetases). tRNAs cope with the degeneracy of the genetic code in two manners: having more than one tRNA (with a specific anti-codon) for a particular amino acid; and 'wobble' base-pairing, i.e. permitting non-standard base-pairing at the 3rd anti-codon position.
Source: Rfam by way of RNAcentral